Molecule: ribosomal RNA, 494 nt
Filed under: uncultured bacterium
Lineage: Bacteria
Description: partial 16S ribosomal RNA
Rfam family: Bacterial small subunit ribosomal RNA
Source: RNAcentral
GACGAACGCUGGCGGCGUGCUUAACACAUGCAAGUCGAACGGAAAGGCCUGCUUUCCCCUGUGGAUUGCGGGUACUCGAGUGGCGAACGGGUGAGUAACACGUGAGUGAUCUGCCCCCAACUUGGGUAUAAGCCUGGGAAACUGGGUCUAAUUCCCGAUAGGACUGCAGGGUGGUGCCUGUGGUGGAAAACGAUUUUCUAGUGGUUGGGGAUGAGCUCGCGGCCUAUCAGCUUGUUGGUGGGGUAAUGGCCUACCAAGGCGGCGACGGGUAGCCGGCCUGAGAGGGUGGACGGCCACAUUGGGACUGAGAUACGGCCCAGACUCCUACGGGAGGCAGCAGUGGGGAAUAUUGCACAAUGGGCGGAAGCCUGAUGCAGCGACGCCGCGUGGGGGAUGACGGCCUUCGGGUUGUAAACUCCUUUCGACCGCGAGGAAGCCACCUGGUUGGAAGGGUGGUGACGGUAGUGGGAGAAGAAGCACCGGCUAACUACGUG